Molecule: ribosomal RNA, 378 nt
Filed under: uncultured bacterium
Lineage: Bacteria
Description: partial 16S ribosomal RNA
Rfam family: Bacterial small subunit ribosomal RNA
Source: RNAcentral
CCUACGAGAGGCAGCAGUGAGGAAUAUUGCGCAAUGGGCGCGAGCCUGACCCAGCGAAGCCGCGUGAGGGAUGACGGUCUUCGGAGCGUAAACCUCUGUCAGCAGGGAAGAACGGUCACUGUGCUCAUCAGCAGUGACUUGACGGUACCUGCAACGGAAGCACCGGCUAACUCCGUGCCAGCAGCCGCGGACAUACGAGGGGUGCGAGCCUUAAUCGGAAUUGCUUGGCGUAAAGCGCUCGUAGGCGGUAUGUCAAGGCGUGGGGGAAAUUCCCGCGCGCAAAGUGGGAACCGCCUUUGAAACUGGCGAGCUGGAGUGUGUGAGAGGAGAGCGGAAUGCGUGGUGGAGGGGUGAAAUACGUAGAUAUCUCGCAGAACA